GUGAAGCGAGCCACCUGGGAAGUACGGCCGCAAGGCUGAAACUUAAAAGGAAUUGGCGGGGGAGCACUACAACGGGUGGAGCCUGCGGUUUAAUUGGAUUCAACGCCGGAAAUCUCACCGGGGGCGACAGCAUGAUGAAGGCCAGGCUGAAGACCUUGCCUGAUCCGCUGAGAGGUGGUGCAUGGCCGUCGUCAGUUCGUACUGUGAAGCAUCCUGUUAAGUCAGGCAACGAGCGAGACCCACGCCCACAGUUGCCAGCGAGCCCUUCGGGGUGGCGGGUACUCUGUGGGGACCGCCGCUGCUAAAGCGGAGGAAGGAAUGGGCAACGGUAGGUCAGUAUGCCCCGAAUCUCCCGGGCUACACGCGGGCUACAAUGGUCGGUACAAUGGGUAUCUACCCCGAGAGGGGAUGGAAAUCUCCUAAAACCGGUCGUAGUUCGGAUUGAGGGCUGCAACUCGCCCUCAUGGAGCUGGAAUCCGUAGUAAUCGCGUUUCAACAGAACGCGGUGAAUACGUCCCUGCUCCUUGCACACACCGCCCGUCAAACCACCCGAGUAGGGUCUGGAUAAGGGUGCGCCAUGUUGACGCAUUCGAAUCUGGGCUUUGCAAGGGGGGUUAAGUCGUAACAAGGUAACCAAGGGCGAAU
This 645-nucleotide ribosomal RNA is filed under the name uncultured archaeon. Its description in RNAcentral is "bacterial SSU rRNA". It matches the Rfam family "Archaeal small subunit ribosomal RNA", at positions 814 to 1458 of the family's 1478-position model. The record is from RNAcentral.